RNAcentral lists this ribosomal RNA (444 nucleotides) under uncultured bacterium. RNAcentral describes it as "bacterial SSU rRNA". It matches the Rfam family "Bacterial small subunit ribosomal RNA", at positions 29 to 475 of the family's 1533-position model. The record is from RNAcentral.
AAUGAACGCUGGCGGUAGGCUUAACACAUGCAAGUCGGACGGAAACGAUGAAGUGCUUGCACUUCAGGCGUCGAGUGGCGGACGGGUGAGUAACGCGUGGGAAUCUACCCUAUAGUUGGGGACAACAUAUGGAAACGUAUGCUAAUACCGAAUGUGCUCUACGGAGUAAAGGAGCCCUCUUCUUGAAAGGUUUCGCUAUAGGAUGAGCCCGCGUGAGAUUAGCUAGUGUAGUAUGCUACAGCACGAUCUCUAGCUGGUUGAGAGGAUGAUCAGCCACACUGGGACUGAGACACGGCCCAGACUCCUACGGGAGGCAGCAGUGGGGAAUAUUGCACAAUGAGCGAAAGCUUGAUGCAGCCAUACCGCGUGUGUGAAGAAGGCCCGAGGGUUGUAAAGCACUUUCAAUUGUGAGGAAGAUAGUGUAGCGAAUAACUGCAUUGUUUG